CCUACGGGAGGCAGCAGUAAGGAAUCUUCCACAAUGGACGAAAGUCUGAUGGAGCAACGCCGCGUGCAGGAUGAAGGCUUUCGGGUCGUAAACUGCUUUUAUAUGGGAAGAUUAUGACGGUACCAUAUGAAUAAGGACCGGCUAACUACGUGCCAGCAGCCGCGGUAAUACGUAGGGUCCAAGCGAUAUCCGGAAUUACUGGGCGUAAAGCGUGUGUAGGUGGAUUAAUAAGUGUGAUGCGAAAUCCGGCGGCUCAACCGUUUGGACUGUGUCGCAUACUGUUAGUCUAGAGGACGGCAGAGGUAAGUGGAAUUACGGGUGUAGCAGUGAAAUGCGUAGAUAUCCGUAGGAACACCAAUGGCGAAGGCAGCUUACUGGGCCACACCUGACACUGAGACGCGAAAGCGUGGGGAGCGAACAGGAUUAGAUACCCUGGUAGUCCACGCCGUAAACGAUGCAUACUAUUAGUAUGGGGUAUCGACCCCCUGUGCUGAGAAGCUAACGCGAUAAGUAUGCCGCCUGGGGAGUACGAGCGCAAGCUUAAAACUUAAAUGAAUUGACGGCUGAGACGUGCGACGACGACGACGAGGGAGGAGG
RNAcentral lists this ribosomal RNA (597 nucleotides) under uncultured bacterium. Its description in RNAcentral is "bacterial SSU rRNA". It matches the Rfam family "Bacterial small subunit ribosomal RNA", at positions 338 to 951 of the family's 1533-position model. The record is from RNAcentral.